This 265-nucleotide ribosomal RNA is filed under the name uncultured archaeon. RNAcentral describes it as "partial 16S ribosomal RNA". It matches the Rfam family "Archaeal small subunit ribosomal RNA", at positions 717 to 982 of the family's 1478-position model. The record is from RNAcentral.
ACACGACUACAUUAGAUACCCCUGUAGUCCCAGCCCUAAACGAUGCGCGUUAGGUGUAUCGGUGACCACGAGUCACCGAGGUGCCGAAGGGAAACCGUGAAACGUGCCGCCUGGGAAGUACGGUCGCAAGGCUGAAACUUAAAGGAAUUGGCGGGGGAGCACCACAACGGGUGGAGCUUGCGGUUUAAUUGGAUUCAACGCCGGAAAUCUUACCGGGACCGACAGCAACAUGAAGGCCAGGCUGAAGACUUUGCCGGAUUAGCUG